AUUUAUUUCUAAGGUGUGUAGUCAUGGCUUGCCAACUUCUCAAGUGCCAAGUCAUGCAUGCGAAUGUGUAGUCAUGGCUUGUAAUUCAUUAAACCCUAUUUAGAAGGAAUUAUUAUAAUAUAUCUCGUUGAAUAAAGUUAGGGUACAUUUGGCUAGGAGGAGUUGGGGCCCAGAAUGGGAAUGAGAAUGGGUGACUCCCAUUCUAGUCAUUUGGUUCUCGAUAAGUUCCAUCAUCCGAAAAAACUCUACUCCUUUCGCGCAAGCUGUGUUAUGUCUCGGUUUUAUGUCAGAGAAAUUUUUGAUAGAUUCAGGUAUAUUAGGGUUUCAUCAAGUUGAGAUUUUAGUUGAUCAAUUGAAGAGGGACUGAUAGGCAACAGUUAGCCACAGCAAAAAUAAUUUGCAAUCAUUUCCAUGACGGCUUGCCCACUACAUAACCCCUGAAGAAAUGGAUGACGUUUUGCAAGUGGCUUACGGCUAGGUUGGGGCUGGACAGGUCUCGCUUAUAACUGGGGAGUUUCAGUAGGACUUUGAUAACACCACAAAAUGGGGGAAAGAAGUAUCUAAUAACUACAAUGAAUAGACAAAUAUAUAUAUGUAUGUAUGUUUGUUCACAUGUUUGUUUCCUUGGUUGCUUUGGCUUGGCAUUAGUCUCUAGAGAUUCUUAUGGUAAUAUCACUCUUUCAGAUGUUAGUGGUAUGGAUUUUCCCUGUGUUUUAUGUAAUGUUAAGUGACUAUUUCUGAGACAUGAAAGAUUUUGUAAAAAUUUCCUGGUGGUUGAGACUCCCCAGCAAUGGUACAAUUUCUAUGUUGUUAAUUUUAAUAAACAUUGAUCCUCUA
Molecule: non-coding RNA, 837 nt
Organism: Phoenix dactylifera (date palm)
Lineage: Eukaryota; Viridiplantae; Streptophyta; Magnoliopsida; Arecales; Arecaceae
Source: RefSeq, a predicted model, not a curated record